ACACCCGUUCCCAUGCCGAACACGGAAGUUAAGCUCUUCAGCGCCGAUGGUAGUUGGGGGCUUCCCUGCGAGAGUAGGACAUCGCCAGCC
RNAcentral lists this ribosomal RNA (90 nucleotides) under Bacillus licheniformis. The record is from RNAcentral. Lineage: Bacteria; Bacillati; Bacillota; Bacilli; Caryophanales; Bacillaceae.